This is a non-coding RNA of Bactrocera oleae (olive fruit fly), 3109 nucleotides long. The record is from RefSeq and is a predicted model, not a curated record. NCBI's taxonomy places the organism in Eukaryota, Metazoa, Arthropoda, Insecta, Diptera, Tephritidae.
UUUACGCUUUGGUUUCGCGACUUUGCUUUUUUUUUUCAACGAAAAGCAAUUCUUUUUGUUUGUUUGCCACAUGAAAUUCCCAUUUCUUUUAUGCUUCGUUUGUAACUGACUAAACUGGACAAACGCGUUGUGUGGCUGGUGUUUGGUGGUGGAAUUCAUGCUACAAGUUCUGUCAUGCCACAUAUGGUUAGUUGUUAUGGGUUAAUGAUUCCUUCUUAUUUCAAUUUUUAUUCAAAAAAAAUGCACAAAAAAAUAUUUAUUAAAAAAUAUAGCUAGAGUUAGGUGACCAUAUUUUUCAUGGCAAAAUCCGAGACGGUUUUUUUAGUCAUCGAUUUUUCCAUAUUAUCACUGAAAAUCGCGACAUAUAAUAGGUGAGAGAGCAACACAAUUUUAUUCAAUUCUUAACUCGAAAUCCGGACUGCCUCGGUCCAACCGGGCCGCAUGGUCAGCUAAAGCUAGAUGUAUGCAAUUUUUUGCCAACUUUACUAGAAAGUAUUGGCUUUUUCAGCUGUUUCGAAAAAUUCUUUUAAUGAGCCAUCAGCUCUUUCUUCGAUUCUAAAUCUGAUUUCACCAAUUGUGGCAAAACGCUUUCCUUUCAUUGGUUUCGUGAGUUUUGGGAAUAGGAAAAAGUAGCAGGGAGACAAAUCUAGUGAAUACGGUGGUUGAGGCAUGAUUACGGUUUUGUUUUUGGUCAUUCAACAACUUCUGAGCGCUACUAAUGCGACAUGGCUUUUGCUUAACGUUUGGCAAUUUCAAAACAAACUUUGCUGCCACACGUUUCAUGCCCAAAACAUUCGAGAAAAUUGAAUGGCAUGAGCCGAUUGAUAUGCCAACAUUCUCUGCGACUUCCCUAACAGUGUUUCGACAAUUUUCAAGAACACUUUUUUUUCACUGUUUCGACGUUUCUUCGCCUGUUAAUGUGGUCGCACCUCCAGCAUGCUCAUCGUCAUCAACAUCUUCUCGGCCUUCUGUAAAGCGCUUGUACCACUUAUACAUUUCCACAGUCAACAUUUCAAGUGCCUUGGAGCACUUUAUUUCAUUUUUAACGCAAAACUUCAUACAUAUUCUUUGAUGCAUUUCCUUCAAAAGUCAAAAAUCGUAGAGCCCUCAAAAAUGUGACAAACCUUUUCUCUUGUCAAAAACAAACUACUAAUCGAAAUUGGCUCCUAAUGCAAACACAUGAUAAACAUAUGUGUCCGAUUAUCACAAAAACAAAAUAUCGAUAAUCGAAUGUACACAUUUUAUAGGGUCACCAACGUUUCCUUUUGAGUGUUACAAACUGCAUGGCAAACUUAAGCGUAUAAAAAUAUUCUUCACGUGUUUUGAAAUCAGUUCGGUACCGAAUUUCUAUUUUCCAGUGGUUUAAACACGAAUUUAGCAGCGCGCAGCACCUGCCGACCUAACCUUAAACUUUGUAAGCUACACUCGCCGCUACACGGUGCUGCUCAAAUGCAGGUCGUUUGUGCGAAAAAGAGGACAGCUGCUGCAGACUUUUAUGCAGUGACAUGCAUUUGAAACUAAGUGUGCCAAGCUUCAUCGAACGCAAACGCUGUGCUGACCUUACGCAAAUCACUUGGCUUGGUUUGACAGAUUUUAGUCAGCUAUAGUGGGUGUACAUAUAUGUGUGCAUUAACAAUAUUCACACGCGUUCAUAAAAAAUAUAAUUUUGCAUAAUUCGAACGAAUUUUAAUGUUUAACAAGUGCAGAAAUAAGUUUCCAUUGCUAAAUUUUCUACAUUUUUUUCGUUUCACUUUUUUUAGAGGUUCCUUUAAUUGGCUUACGGCAUUUUACUGUAUGCCAAACUCUUGCAAGCCGUUUUAUUAUUACUGUUUACCUUUGCUCGCACUGAAGCGUUGUUUUGAUUGUUUGCAUAUACUUGUAUGUGUGUAUGUGUGUAACAGUUAAGUGCUAACAUUCGAUUGUUACGAUUUUAUUAAUUUUUUCUUGUCACUGUUCAUGUUUAGCAAUACAAAUUUCAAUACAAAAGCAGUGUAGAAAAAUAAAUAAAAAAUACAACAAAAGCUUUAAUAACAAAGACUGAAAUCGAAAGGAAAGGCAAUUCCAGCAAAAGAAAACAAAUGCUUUCAAUGCAAUUUCAAGGCGGUUAGACCAAUUGCUGUCGCCUCCAGCAUUUACUUCAAGCAACAGCGCUGCCCCCCACUCUCACUAUCGCUCUAUGCAGUGAGCGGUAGGUAACUGUGAAAGUGAACAGCGUGCCGCUAGUGUGCUUGGCAUAUGGCAUAAAGCAGCGGUAGACAUAAUAACAACAACGCGACAAAUAACAAUAACAAUAAAAAAGCGCCGCGCAGCUGUUGCUAUUUAUUGUUGUGCCAUUUGGAGCAUUUUGUGAAGAGCUUGCAUAGUGUAACACACAGAGUAACCGUGUUAGUUACCCCACUCAACUGAACUGUCAUAACCUAUAGAAUCGCCAGCUACAAUAAAAACAUACACAUGUACUUACUUAUGUGCUUACUAUAUGUAUAAGCUGCUCCACCGCUAGCGCUGCUCAAACGUAGCGGCAGGCAUGGGAACGAUGGUUUCUCUGCGCUAAAGUUAGAGAUAAUUUAUUUAGCGAUGCUGAGUUGAUGAUAACUAAUACAUUGGCGCUAGCGCAGGCAAUAACGGCGAAGACGUUGCGUUGUAAAUUAGAAAAUUUCUAUAAAAAAACGCGCACACAUAUAUACAAACACAUGUAUGUAUGUAGAGCAGCGUGCACGUAUACAUUAAUGUGGCGGAGCAAAAGCGAAUAGCAAAGCAAUGAGCUGUAAGCUAACAAAGGCAGCAUGAAUGUGUAGAAAGUGUGUGUACGGUGUGGUUGGUUGACAUGACAGCUGGGAGGGGAAACAUGGUGUUAAUGCUUGCGACGAUUGGGGAUAAGGAGCAUGUUAAAUUGAAAAAAAGAGGCGUAGUAGCGUAGUUGGAGUGUUAAGGAGUUUGAUAAUCAAUUAUUAUUUAUACACACCGAUGUCUUUAUACUAAACCAUUUUGGUUUUGUUUUUUUAAUUUUAAUUGCCUACCUCUCCUACACUGCUGCGCCCAACAUUUUCGUUUAUUUUUAGUUAAAAAAUUAGUAAUUAAUUUAUGUAGGUAGGUGUGUUUAUUUAGAGAA